UUCUUAUAAAGAAGAGGCGAGAGAACAGGCUCUAAGACCCUCUGGCAACCGCCGCAUACGGAAAGGUGCCAAAUCCUGCCCAAAUAAUUGAGUUUAUUGGGAACUAUAAAAA
This 112-nucleotide non-coding RNA is filed under the name Solitalea canadensis. RNAcentral describes it as "SAM-I sequence". It matches the Rfam family "SAM riboswitch aptamer (S box leader)". Rfam says of the family: The SAM riboswitch is found upstream of a number of genes which code for proteins involved in methionine or cysteine biosynthesis in Gram-positive bacteria. RNAcentral also lists the same sequence under 1 other name. Lineage: Bacteria; Pseudomonadati; Bacteroidota; Sphingobacteriia; Sphingobacteriales; Sphingobacteriaceae. The record is from RNAcentral.